This 68-nucleotide transfer RNA is filed under the name Treponema sp. JC4. It matches the Rfam family "tRNA". From Rfam's summary of the family: Transfer RNA (tRNA) molecules are approximately 80 nucleotides in length. Their secondary structure includes four short double-helical elements and three loops (D, anti-codon, and T loops). Further hydrogen bonds mediate the characteristic L-shaped molecular structure. tRNAs have two regions of fundamental functional importance: the anti-codon, which is responsible for specific mRNA codon recognition, and the 3' end, to which the tRNAs corresponding amino acid is attached (by aminoacyl-tRNA synthetases). tRNAs cope with the degeneracy of the genetic code in two manners: having more than one tRNA (with a specific anti-codon) for a particular amino acid; and 'wobble' base-pairing, i.e. permitting non-standard base-pairing at the 3rd anti-codon position. The record is from Rfam by way of RNAcentral. Lineage: Bacteria; Pseudomonadati; Spirochaetota; Spirochaetia; Treponematales; Treponemataceae.
GGGGCUGUAGCUCACCUAGCGUUUGAAUGGCAUUCAAAAGGCAGUCGGUUCAACUCCGGUCAGCUCCA